GUGGGGAAUAUUGGACAAUGGGCGCAAGCCUGAUCUAGCCAUGCCGCGUGAGUGAUGAAGGCCCUAGGGUUGUAAAGCUCUUUCAGCUGGGAAGAUAAUGACGGUACCAGCAGAAGAAGCCCCGGCUAACUCCGUGCCAGCAGCCGCGGUAAUACGGAGGGGGCUAGCGUUGUUCGGAAUUACUGGGCGUAAAGCGCGCGUAGGCGGACUGAAAAGUUGGGGGUGAAAUCCCGGGGCUCAACCUCGGAACUGCCUUCAAAACUAUCAGUCUGGAGUUCGAGAGAGGUGAGUGGAAUUCCGAGUGUAGAGGUGAAAUUCGUAGAUAUUCGGAGGAACACCAGUGGCGAAGGCGGCUCACUGGUCUGGUACUGACGCUGAGGUGCGAAAGCGUGGGGAGCAAACAGGAUUAGAAACCCGAGUAGUCC
This 425-nucleotide ribosomal RNA is filed under the name uncultured bacterium. RNAcentral describes it as "partial 16S ribosomal RNA". It matches the Rfam family "Bacterial small subunit ribosomal RNA", at positions 354 to 796 of the family's 1533-position model. The record is from RNAcentral.